RNAcentral lists this long non-coding RNA (301 nucleotides) under Mytilus galloprovincialis (Mediterranean mussel). Lineage: Eukaryota; Metazoa; Mollusca; Bivalvia; Mytilida; Mytilidae. The record is from RNAcentral.
GCUUCGGUUUCAGAGAUAUGAGCCAAAAGCUGCAUUUUACCCUAAGUACUAUUUUAGCCAUGGCAGCCAUCUUGGUUCGCGGGCGGGGUAAUCGGACACAUUUUUAAAUACCCUAAUGAUGAUUGUGGACAAGUUUGGUUAAAUCUGUCAUAGUAGUUUCAGGAGGACUUUUGUAAAAGAUUACAAAAAUUUACUAUAAAGGGCAAUAACUCCUUGAGGGGUCAACUGACCCUUUUAGUCAUACUGACUUAUUUGUAGAAACUACUUUGCUGAACAUUAUUGAUGUUUACAGUUUAUAUCU